RNAcentral lists this unclassified non-coding RNA (206 nucleotides) under Hevea brasiliensis (rubber tree). The record is from RNAcentral. Lineage: Eukaryota; Viridiplantae; Streptophyta; Magnoliopsida; Malpighiales; Euphorbiaceae.
UCAAGGACCCGCUUAAAGGUUUGCCGCGCUCUAUCAAACUGACCGAGUCUGUAGCGACAUAGACCUAUACCAAGUCUUACCGCUGCAGGGCAAUUAGGAUACAGUCGCAAUACUUUCUUGUAAAAUUUCAACGAGUUCCUAUAUGACUCCGCAGCUUUGAUAUAAUUAUUCUCUUUCUCGCCAUAAAUAAAUUGAACACAAGCCUG